RNAcentral lists this ribosomal RNA (506 nucleotides) under uncultured Chloroflexota bacterium. Its description in RNAcentral is "bacterial SSU rRNA". It matches the Rfam family "Bacterial small subunit ribosomal RNA", at positions 342 to 863 of the family's 1533-position model. The record is from RNAcentral. Lineage: Bacteria; Bacillati; Chloroflexota.
CGGGAGGCGGCAGCAGGGAAUCUUGGGCAAUGGGCGAAAGCCUGACCCAGCGACGUCGCGUGGGGGACGAAGGCCUUAGGGUUGUAAACCCCUUUUCCGAGGGAAGAGAAAGGACGGUACCUCGGGAAUAAGCCCCGGCUAACUACGUGCCAGCAGCCGCGGUAAUACGUAGGGGGCAAGCGUUACCCGGAAUCACUGGGCGUAAAGUGCGCGUAGGCGGUUGGAUAAGUCUCUUGUGAAAGCUCCCGGCUCAACUGGGAGAGGUCAAGGGAUACUAUUCGACUUGAGGACAGCAGAGGUAAGCGGAAUUCCCGGUGUAGCGGUGGAAUGCGUAGAUAUCGGGAGGAACACCAGUGGCGAAAGCGGCUUACUGGGCUGUAACUGACGCUGAGGCGCGAGAGCGUGGGGAGCAAACUGGAUUAGAUACCCAGGUAGUCCACGCCCUAAACGAUGGAUACUAGGUAUGGGGGGUAUUGACCCCCUCCGUGCCGUAGCUAACGCACUAA